AAGGAUCAUUAUUGAGAUGUAACGGCGCCCUGUUAGUUGUUGCAAUGUAGAGUCAGUGCUGGCUUCUAAAGUAUGUGCACGCUUUACUUGUAGCUCUAACUUGGUGAUAACCGUUUCUUAUCCAUCCACCUGUGCACUUUUUGUAGGAGUUUUUAUUAGGUUGGCUUUCAAGUCGAAAGACUUUGUUAGUUGGCAUAAUAGGACUUCUAUGUCUUUACAAACCAUUGAAGUAUGUCUAGAAUGUCAUUUUACUGGGACUUCAUUGACCCUUUAAACUUUAUACAACUUUCAGCAACGGAUCUCUUGGCUCUCCCAUCGAUGAAGAACGCAGCGAAAUGCGAUAAGUAAUGUGAAUUGCAGAAUUCAGUGAAUCAUCGAAUCUUUGAACGCACCUUGCGCCCUCUGGUAUUCCGGAGGGCAUGCCUGUUUGAGUGUCAUUAAAUUCUCAACUUCAAAAGUUUUUAUUAACUUAUUGAAGCUUGGAUGUGGGGGUUUGUUGGCGUCUUUAGAUGUUCAGCUCCCCUUAAAUGCAUUAGUGGAAUUCCCGUUUGGUUGGUCCAUCUUGGUGUGAUAAUUAUCUACGCUUUGCUUGGUUCAACUGUGUCAGGUGUGCUUAGGCUAGAUCCUGGUUGUGAUAUUGCAUUAAGUUGCUUUAUCUGAUUGUGGGAAAUUUAUCUGCUUUCUAACCGUCUGUUAUUUCAGACAAUUUAUUGACUAUUUGACCUCAAAUCAGGUAGGACUACCCGCUGAACUUAA
Molecule: ribosomal RNA, 756 nt
Filed under: Rhodocollybia butyracea
Lineage: Eukaryota; Fungi; Basidiomycota; Agaricomycetes; Agaricales; Omphalotaceae
Description: eukaryotic LSU rRNA
Rfam family: 5.8S ribosomal RNA (bases 284-437)
Source: RNAcentral